AGUUUGAUCUUGAUUUGCAGGCACAACCUGAUGAUGUAUGCUCACAGGUUGGCUUAUGUUUCAAAAGGACUAAAUCAGAGAGCAAUGGAAUUGAGAUGGUGACCGAAAAGGAACAGAGAGAGUUGUCAACUAAAGAUACUGCUUUGUGCACUUCCUGUCAGAUGCUCGUGGUUUGGAUUCAGAAUCAACUAAAACAAAAGAAGACCAAGGAGAUAGUAUUCAACUAUGUAAAUCAGCUGUGCGAGAGCUGGCCUAGUCCA
Glycine soja is the source of this 260-nucleotide long non-coding RNA. RefSeq lists it as uncharacterized. The record is from RefSeq and is a predicted model, not a curated record. The transcript is spliced from 3 exons. NCBI's taxonomy places the organism in Eukaryota, Viridiplantae, Streptophyta, Magnoliopsida, Fabales, Fabaceae.